RNAcentral lists this transfer RNA (68 nucleotides) under Ctenopharyngodon idella (grass carp). RNAcentral describes it as "tRNA-His". It matches the Rfam family "tRNA". From Rfam's summary of the family: Transfer RNA (tRNA) molecules are approximately 80 nucleotides in length. Their secondary structure includes four short double-helical elements and three loops (D, anti-codon, and T loops). Lineage: Eukaryota; Metazoa; Chordata; Actinopteri; Cypriniformes; Xenocyprididae. The record is from RNAcentral.
UAAGUAUAGUUUAACCAAAAUAUUAGAUUGUGAUUCUAAAGACAGGAGUUAAAAUCUCCUUACUCACC